UAAUACGUAGGUGGCAAGCGUUGUCCGGAUUUACUGGGCGUAAAGAGCGCGCAGGCGGCCUGAUCAGUCGAAUGUGAAAGCCCCCGGCUUAACUGGGGAGGGUCAUUCGAUACUGUCAGGCUCGAAGGCAGGAGAGGGAAGCGGAAUUCCCGGUGUAGUGGUGAAAUGCGUAGAUAUCGGGAGGAACACCAG
RNAcentral lists this ribosomal RNA (192 nucleotides) under uncultured bacterium. Its description in RNAcentral is "partial 16S ribosomal RNA". It matches the Rfam family "Bacterial small subunit ribosomal RNA", at positions 521 to 712 of the family's 1533-position model. The record is from RNAcentral.